RNAcentral lists this ribosomal RNA (487 nucleotides) under uncultured bacterium. RNAcentral describes it as "bacterial SSU rRNA". It matches the Rfam family "Bacterial small subunit ribosomal RNA", at positions 30 to 507 of the family's 1533-position model. The record is from RNAcentral.
AUUGAACGCUGGCGGCAUGCCUUACACAUGCAAGUCGAACGGCAGCACGGGAGCAAUCCUGGUGGCGAGUGGCGAACGGGUGAGUAAUAUAUCGGAACGUGCCCAGUCGUGGGGGAUAACGUAGCGAAAGCUACGCUAAUACCGCAUACGAUCUAAGGAUGAAAGCGGGGGACUCGCAAGAGCCUCGCGCGAUUGGAGCGGCCGAUAUCAGAUUAGGUAGUUGGUGGGGUAAAGGCUCACCAAGCCAACGAUCUGUAGCUGGUCUGAGAGGACGACCAGCCACACUGGAACUGAGACACGGUCCAGACUCCUACGGGAGGCAGCAGUGGGGAAUUUUUGGACAAUGGACGCAAGUCUGAUCCAGCCAUUCCGCGUGCAGGAUGAAGGCCCUCGGGUUGUAAACUGCUUUUGUACGGAACGAAACGGUGAGCUCUAAUACAGUUUGCUAAUGACGGUACCGUAAGAAUAAGNACCGGCUAACUACGUG